GAUGAACGCUGGCGGCGUGCUUAACACAUGCAAGUCGAACGGAAAGGCCCAAGCUUGCUUGGGUACUCGAGUGGCGAACGGGUGUGUAACACGGGGGUGAUCUGCCCUGCACUUCGGGAUAAGCCGGGGAAACUGGGUCUAAUACCGGAUAGGACGAUGGUAUGGAUGCGGUUGUGGAAAGUUUUUUCGGUGUGGGAUGAGCUCGCGGCCUUUCAGUUUGUUGGUGGGUUAAUGGCCUACCAGGGCGUGGAGGGGUGGCGGGCUUGAGAGGGGGUACGGCACAAUUGGGCUGGGAUACCGGCCCGGCUCCCACGGGGAGCAGGAGGUGGGAAUAUUGGACAAUGGGGGCAAGCCUGGUGCAGCGAAGGCGGGGGGGGGGUGAAGGCCCUCGGGUUGGAAACCCCCUUCGCUAGGGACGAAGCGUUUUUGUGACGGUACCUGGAGAAGAAGCACCGGCUAACUACGUG
This 467-nucleotide ribosomal RNA is filed under the name uncultured bacterium. RNAcentral's name for it is "partial 16S ribosomal RNA". It matches the Rfam family "Bacterial small subunit ribosomal RNA", at positions 28 to 507 of the family's 1533-position model. The record is from RNAcentral.